GGGUUGUGAGGUUAAGCGACCAAGCGUACACGGUGGAUGCCCUGGCAGUCAGAGGCGAUGAAGGACGUGCUAAUCUGCGAAAAGCGCCGGUAAGGUGAUAUGAACCGUUAUAACCGGCGAUGUCCGAAUGGGGAAACCCAGUGUGACUCGUCACACUAUCAUUAACUGAAUCCAUAGGUUAAUGAGGCGAA
Molecule: ribosomal RNA, 191 nt
Filed under: Salmonella enterica
Lineage: Bacteria; Pseudomonadati; Pseudomonadota; Gammaproteobacteria; Enterobacterales; Enterobacteriaceae
Description: partial 23S ribosomal RNA
Rfam family: Bacterial large subunit ribosomal RNA
Source: RNAcentral